Molecule: microRNA precursor, 195 nt
Filed under: Oryza brachyantha (malo sina)
Lineage: Eukaryota; Viridiplantae; Streptophyta; Magnoliopsida; Poales; Poaceae
Description: MIR812 microRNA precursor family
Rfam family: MIR812 microRNA precursor family
Source: Rfam by way of RNAcentral
AAUAAAUGAAUUUCUAUGUUUUUAGAUAAAUUUUUUGACUUUUCGUCUUAUUUGAAAAAUUUUUGUGAUUAAUAUUUUUAUUGUUACUAUAUGGUAAAACAUGAAUAGUACUUUACGUGCGACUAUUUUUUUCAACUUUUUAAUAAAUUUUUUAAAUAAGACGGAUGGUCAAACGCUUGACCUAGAAUACCCAGA